CGCAUUUUUAGAAUAGAUAACGGUUUUGACAAAAAACCGUUAUCUAUGUAGUGUUGUCCAUACGUUUAGAUAACGGUUUGAGUUAUUCCGUUAUAUUUGUGCGUUAUCUAUUAGAUACAUACAUAACGGUAUUACAAAACCGUUAAGCCGACCGUUAUCUAUGAGCAUCUUUUUAUAGAAUUUUAAAAAUUAAAAGAAAAAAAAAUCAAAAAAUUGGCUUCUUCUUCCCCAAAUUGGCUUCGACACCUCCACUUUCCCCAAAAACUUAAAGAAAAACAGGGCUUCUGCAAUUCUUCUUCUCCAUCCGCCUUCUUCUCCAUCCGCCUUCUUCUUCGCCUCUCCUCCCCCCAUCCGCCUUCUUCUUCCCCAAAUCGACCCCUCUGCCAUAUACCAACUCUGUUCGCCCCGAU
RNAcentral lists this long non-coding RNA (410 nucleotides) under Salvia miltiorrhiza (redroot sage). Its description in RNAcentral is "long non-coding RNA (SMIL_LNC004008)". The record is from RNAcentral. Lineage: Eukaryota; Viridiplantae; Streptophyta; Magnoliopsida; Lamiales; Lamiaceae.